GACGUAGGGCGCGAGCGUUGUCCGGAUUUAUUGGGCGUAAAGAGCUCGUAGGCGGCUUGUCGCGUCGACCGUGAAAACUCGCAGCUCAACUGCGAGCCUGCGGUCGAUACGGGCAGGCUAGAGUUCGGUAGGGGAGACUGGAAUUCCUGGUGUAGCGGUGAAAUGCGCAGAUAUCAGGAGGAACACCGGUGGUGUAGACGGCUUUCUGGACCGUAACUGACGCUGAGACACGAAAGCGUGGGUAGCAAACAGG
This 253-nucleotide ribosomal RNA is filed under the name uncultured bacterium. RNAcentral's name for it is "partial 16S ribosomal RNA". It matches the Rfam family "Bacterial small subunit ribosomal RNA", at positions 524 to 776 of the family's 1533-position model. The record is from RNAcentral.